This is a small nuclear RNA of Salvia splendens (bonfire salvia), 196 nucleotides long. RefSeq annotates it as U2 spliceosomal RNA. NCBI's taxonomy places the organism in Eukaryota, Viridiplantae, Streptophyta, Magnoliopsida, Lamiales, Lamiaceae. The record is from RefSeq and is a predicted model, not a curated record. The transcript has a single exon.
AUACCUUUCUUGGCCUUUUGGCUAGGAUCAGGUGUAGUAUUUGUUCUUAUCAGUUUAAUAUCUGAUAUGUGGGCCAUUGGCUCACACAAUAUUAAAUUUAUUUUUUGAAGGUGAAGAUCCAUCAAAAUGGGUUGCUACUUGGGUCUUCAAACGUCGCCCAUGUGUUGCACUAAUACACGGACCUGACGCACCGCCA